Molecule: long non-coding RNA, 407 nt
Filed under: Rattus norvegicus (Norway rat)
Lineage: Eukaryota; Metazoa; Chordata; Mammalia; Rodentia; Muridae
Description: long non-coding RNA NONRATT017925
Source: RNAcentral
GCAGUCCUGAGAGCAUCCACAGUCUGGCUGCGACCCUGGCCUGUGAGCACCUGAACUUCUUCCUGUCUAGGGAAGGGACAGCUAACAGCGGAAGCCAACGACCUUGGUCUCUAUCCAGGAACAUGGGUCCUGAUGGAGGCUCUGAGCCUGAGUUUCCUACCAGUUGGUCUGAGAAUGAUGUGCCUGCUUGCCCUGGGCACCAUUCGUCUGCUCUACUGAGACAGUGCAGGGCAGAUCCACGUGAGCCAAGGGACAGAGUCUCACCCCAGGCUCUGCUCUACCAUUUCCAGAUGUGGGGCGAGCUCUGUGGGUGGCAGGUCUCGUAUGCCAAUCUCAUCAUGUCGGUGUGUUUCUGACAAGCAAGCACACCUUUUAUAAUAUUAAGAAAGAUGAAUAAAGAUUGAUUU